This 810-nucleotide long non-coding RNA is filed under the name Chinchilla lanigera (long-tailed chinchilla). RNAcentral's name for it is "lncRNA (ENSCLAG00000026642.1)". The record is from RNAcentral. Lineage: Eukaryota; Metazoa; Chordata; Mammalia; Rodentia; Chinchillidae.
UGGAGGGACAUACUUGAACCAGAUCCAAGUCACAGUGACCGGCUGGAAGUUAAAGUUGGGGAUUAUAAUCUCACCCAUGUGUAGGCAGCGCACACACGGUGAAAACUGCAGAGAUGUUCUUAAAACAACAGGUCAGAGAACAUGGCAGAGAAAUGAGGAAGAGGGAAGGAAGCUGGUUUCUACCUGAAGAGGUGAUUGGUCACUUCCUCUUCCCUGGUUACCUUUCUUGCUCGUUCUGUGCAUUGCAGGGAUUUGGUGUAGCUGCCCUGUCAUGGGAGGGGUGCCCACACAGCAGGGACAUGGGCGCAGGCCUUGGGAGAAGCUGGGGCGUGCUUUGCGAGGCUGCAGAUGUGGGACCCCAUGCUCUCCUUUCCUCAUCCCAUCUACAACUUCACAUUUUCUUUUUUUUUUUUUUUUUUUUUUUUGGUUUUUCUCUGGUACCGGGAACUGAACUCAUGACCUUGCGCUUGCCAGGCAAGUGCUUUUGCCACUGAGCUAAAUCCCCAGCCCUAAGUUUACAUUUUCUGUCCCUGCAGCCCCUGGGCCAGCUUCACAGUCACCCACUUUUGACACCUGCGUCCAGACACGCUGUAUGGUGUGUGGCACAGCUGCUGAGGCCAGAUGCCUGCUCGGUGGGCCUCGCUGGAAGAUGCUGCUGAACUCUACGUCCUGAUUGGCACCCAUAAAUUCUGUGAUGAAUCAUCGUUCACUCUGACCUUGGCCCUCUAGGUAAUCCCCCAAGACACCCAAUUCAGCCUUUCCUGAGACUUCUCUGCCUCUGCCCUCCAUUUUCUCCCCUAACCAGGUCAU